Non-coding RNA from Erinaceus europaeus (western European hedgehog), 134 nucleotides. Lineage: Eukaryota; Metazoa; Chordata; Mammalia; Eulipotyphla; Erinaceidae. The record is from Rfam.
AUGCUGCCAAUUAAUCUGACCAUGCUGCCUUCCCUAUGGUGCCCCAUGUGUAAUGGCUGCCAACAGCAGCAUCCUGGGUGGUGUAUGCAACCUGUUGCUUAUACAGGCUGCCCUAAGGGACCCUGGAGACAGCC